Molecule: long non-coding RNA, 806 nt
Organism: Lathyrus oleraceus (garden pea)
Lineage: Eukaryota; Viridiplantae; Streptophyta; Magnoliopsida; Fabales; Fabaceae
Exons: 2
Source: RefSeq, a predicted model, not a curated record
CCUAAAAAUAUUUCUCAAACAGAGGCCCAUCAGAGGCGAAGCUCCGCAUUGUCGUAGGUGGCAGAGCGGUCCAAACCUCAAAUUGCAAACACCUUCAGACUCCUCUUUGCGCCCUCUUUGUAAACCAACCAUUCAUUUUCAUCGAUGAUAGAUAUCAACGGUGUAAAUUUUUUACAUUUUCAGUCCAUAGUAAUUAAUCCCGAACUCGAAUAGAAUAAAAAGAUUCAGAACCCUAAAACAUGAAAAACUUAAUUAAAUCAUUACCACGACUCGGUUUGAUCCCUAACCUUGGGGUUAACGCUUAUCUGCAUCUACUCUAUAGUCCGGUAACAAGAAAUGGGGAGUUCCAAAGAGGUGCACCAACCUUUGGAAUGGUAAAUUGCUUCGGCCAAGCUCGGGAAUCUCGAAGAUGAAGAUGCCAAAAAUCCCGAAGAUCAGGGACUUGGCCUAUUUUCUUCCUAAAAUGCAGGUUGAGAUGCUUGAUGCAGUUUGGUUGUGGGAUGGUGCAGCCUUAUGGUGUGAUGGAUGAAAGAAAACAAGUCUAUUUGGCUAGUUGUGAACUUUAUGUACAGGAAGUUGAAUGAAAUUGAAAUGAAUGUAAAAUCAGGAGUUAGGAUUUGGAAAUUGAAUUUUUUAGAAGUUAGGAUUUGUAAAUUACAUUGAUAUAUAAAUUUUGAACAAAUUAUAUAUUAUAGAAAAUUGAAUGUAAAAUAUUGGGUUGUAAUUGAAAUUGCGGAUGUUAGGAUUAUGUACAUUCAAGUUAUAAAAUGGAAUUUGAAUGGAAUGUCGUUGGAUUUGAUUUUGUA